Long non-coding RNA from Lemur catta (Ring-tailed lemur), 254 nucleotides. RefSeq lists it as uncharacterized. The record is from RefSeq and is a predicted model, not a curated record. Lineage: Eukaryota; Metazoa; Chordata; Mammalia; Primates; Lemuridae. The transcript has 3 exons.
AUAACACGAGGGCUGUCCAUGGUGGAGAGUCUAAGUAGAAGAUGGUCCAUACCCCUCUACCAGAUUGUGUCAAUGAUGGACUACAAGGCAAGCUACAGCAUACGUAGGAUGUGUUAUAACCUGAUGUUCAUGAAAAUUGUUGAUUUUCUAUUCCAAUUCCCAAAGCCAAGAACCCCACGGGAAAGCCUGAGGGCGAACGCCCACGGGCCUUAAUAUAAGCAUCUUCCACAAGCGGUUUCUGCUCUUGCCUUCAC